GACGAACGCUGGCGGCGUGCUUAACACAUGCAAGUCGAGCGGUAAGGCCCUUUCGGGGGUACACGAGCGGCGAACGGGUGAGUAACACGUGGGUGACCUGCCCUUAGCUCUGGGAUAAGCCUGGGAAACUGGGUCUAAUACCGGAUAUGACCUCAUGACUCAUGUUGUGGGGUGGAAAGCCUUGUGCGGCUAGGGAUGGGCCCGCGGUCUAUCAGCUUGUUGGUGGGGUAAUUGCCUACCAAGGCGACGACGGGUAGCCGGCCUGAGAGGGCGACCGGCCACACUGGGACUGAGACACGGCCCAGACUCCUACGGGAGGCAGCAGUGGGGAAUCUUGCGCAAUGGGCGAAAGCCUGACGCAGCGACGCCGCGUGAGGGAUGACGCC
RNAcentral lists this ribosomal RNA (386 nucleotides) under uncultured bacterium. RNAcentral describes it as "bacterial SSU rRNA". It matches the Rfam family "Bacterial small subunit ribosomal RNA", at positions 28 to 415 of the family's 1533-position model. The record is from RNAcentral.